This 253-nucleotide ribosomal RNA is filed under the name uncultured bacterium. RNAcentral describes it as "partial 16S ribosomal RNA". It matches the Rfam family "Bacterial small subunit ribosomal RNA", at positions 524 to 776 of the family's 1533-position model. The record is from RNAcentral.
UACGUAGGGGGCUAGCGUUGUCCGGAAUCAUUGGGCGUAAAGCGCGUGUAGGCGGCUCGGUAAGUCCGCUGUGAAAGUCGGGGGCUCAACCCUCGGAUGCCGGUGGAUACUGUCGGGCUAGAGUACGGAAGAGGCGAGUGGAAUUCCUGGUGUAGCGGUGAAAUGCGCAGAUAUCAGGAGGAAUACCGAUGGCGAAGGCAGGUCUCUGGGCUGACACUGACGCUCAUGCACGAAAGCGUGGGGAGCAAACAGG